AGUGAACGCUGGCGGUAGGCCUAACACAUGCAAGUCGAACGGCAGCACAGUAAGAGCUUGCUCUUACGGGUGGCGAGUGGCGGACGGGCGAGGAAUACAUCGGAAUCUACUUUUUCGUGGGGGAUAACGUAGGGAAACUUACGCUAAUACCGCAUACGACCUACGGGUGAAAGCAGGGGAUCUUCGGACCUUGCGCGGUUGAAUGAGCCGAUGUCGGAUUAGCUAGUUGGCGGGGUAAAGGCCCACCAAGGCGACGAUCCGUAGCUGGUCUGAGAGGAUGAUCAGCCACACUGGAACUGAGACACGGUCCAGACUCCUACGGGAGGCAGCAGUGGGGAAUAUUGGACAAUGGGCGCAAGCCUGAUCCAGCCAUACCGCGUGGGUGAAGAAGGCCUUCGGGUUGUAAAGCCCUUUUGUUGGGAAAGAAAAGCAGCAGGUUAAUACCCCGCUGUUCUGACGGUACCCAAAGAAUAAGCACCGGCUAACUUCGU
RNAcentral lists this ribosomal RNA (491 nucleotides) under uncultured bacterium. RNAcentral's name for it is "partial 16S ribosomal RNA". It matches the Rfam family "Bacterial small subunit ribosomal RNA", at positions 29 to 506 of the family's 1533-position model. The record is from RNAcentral.